GGGGCCCUGAAGGUAGGAAAAAUAUCCCAAGUGUUCAGUGUCAUCUUACUAGCUCGGAUCUCAGCUUACAGGCAGCCAUUGGCCUCCUGUCUUACCUGGCGUUUAUGUGUGUGUGGAGUUUAGGGUUUCAGAGAGAAGACAGGUGUGUGAGUGAACACAGCAGGACUCCCUGCUGACUGCCACCCACCCACCCCCCCAUCCCUUUGAAUAUUUGAGCAGUGGUGCUUUUCUUUGUUGUAACACUUGAUGUCUUGGUGAGGGUUUGUGAGUGAAGCUGUUCUGUUUGCACUAAUUUAAUCCUCGUCGAACAGAUGAAAACUGUUAAGUGUCAGCUGUUGUUUCUCUGAGGAGUUCUGUGGCACUUGAUGACAACAAAACAAUGACAGGGUCAGUCAAAGACGAAGGCAGUAAAUAUUGGGUGAGACGGAGAGAGGAGUACGACAUGCAACAAAGAACUUGGAAGACGACCCCAUGGGCACAAACUAAUUGAUAGAUUUAUUUAUAGUAAAUAUUAUGAGUCUCUAAUAGUUAUGCAUUAAAUCAUCAGUAGUCCAGCGAUUUUUUUUUUUUUUUUUAAUAUUGCAAUGACAAAGUUCAGACAGAGUGUUAGAAAAUGAACAACAUUGAAGCAACAGAGGCCGAGGUGUCCUGACUUUCACUCCCAAGUAUAAGUCCAGCCCCAAAAACACUGGAUCCUACAUUUCCCAAUAUGCAACCAAAAAGCAUCUUUUUUUUUUUACCACAUAGAUGCUGAGAUGACUUAACCAAAUAACCAGGUUGGGUUUCUGGUCUCUUUUCUGUCUCUUUGUCCUUUUCUUGGUUGUUGUUUCAAUUGAUGGACUCGGUCUGCUUCUACUUCCUGCCUUUACAGAUGCAAAUGAGUGUGCAGGAAAGCCCUGUGUGAACACUUACUCUUGCAAAAAUUUGAUUGGCGGAUAUCACUGCGACUGUUUUCGAGGAUGGUCCGGACAAAACUGUGACAUCAACGUCAACGGCUGCCAUGGUCAGUGCCAGAAUGGAGCAACAUGCAAGGUGGGCCCCAGGGGUCACCACUGCCAGUGUCCUCCAGGUUUUGUGGGCUCUCACUGUGAAAUCCAGAGGAAUAAGUGCAACAGCGGACCAUGCCAGAACGGCGGCCAGUGCCACGCAGUGUUGGACGGCUUUGUGUGUCAAUGCCCGCCACAGUUUGCUGGACAGCUGUGUGAGGUGAGUCUCAUGUUCCACGAGUCGCAUUUGAUUGGAUUAUUGUGGAUACAGUGACGGUUUAUAAGCUGGUGGUAGCUUUUGAUUUUUAUAGAAGAGGAUCCCUGUGGACAGCAACUGCCAUAAAGCGUGUCAUAAUGCUCCUAGCAUCCAAUGAACUUUAUAAAUUGCCAUGGAAAAACAUGCCAAUAACAUCACACAAUGGAAGCCAUGAUGAUGAUUUGGUGAAAGGAAGAGAAUUGUAAUACUUGCAUGAUGAUUCAAUUUUUUUAAAUAUACACAAAGCGACUUGGAAUGCUGUGCAAAUGCUCAAACUGCAGUAGUCAUUACAGCACAGUUAUCUAAGCCAACUGUCCUUUGCCAAAGUACGAUCUGCCUAAAAGUUGUGUCGUACGUUCCAAGCCCAAUAAGCCAAGCAUGGGUUUUAUUGCAAACUUCUUCUGUCUUUGCUGCAGCCUUUUUAUAUUUGAGGUGUGUGUGUGUGUGUGUGUGUGUGUGUGUGUGUGUGUGUGUGUGUGGGUGUGUGGGUGUGUGUGUGUGUGUGUGUGUGUGUGUGUGUGUUUGAGGCUAAUGUAGGUUAGCAGUGAGGAAACUGACACUUCACUGCAUCUCUUGGGUCCUGAAUGGAGGACAUUGCUGGUCAGGAGCCAAUCCUGUUUUAGCAUCUCUACUAUAAAUAUGAGCCUCUCUGAAUGAGGGGACGCUGCUGGAUUUCUGCCCGCAUACUGAUGCCUGCUAUGGCACAGUGUAGAUUCCUGCCCUGCAGUGCCACAACUAUGCAUCAUAUUUCCCUGAUUAGUGUCUCCUCUCAAGCCCACAGAAGUUUGAUUGUGAAAAGGUGGUUUUUAAUUUCUGAUCUGAAUGAUGUCUUCAGAAGGAAUAAGGACAACUGGAAAUGCUUAAGAAAUAUAGGUGACAUCCCUGUCUUGAACAAUUCAUACCAGUUUAUAGAUUAUAGCUUCACACACAUCAUUUAUUUUUGGAAGUCCAGGGGAGGGGCCUAAUUGCAGCUUGUGUCAAGAAAUGUAACAACGCGCUCACUAAUGAUUAAAUCUAUAAACCAGCGCAAAAAUGUAAAUGUAUAUCUGCCGUGCAGACAGCUGCCUGCACAUAUUGAAAUAGGCAUAUCUGUAGACAUUUCAGUAAAAAAAAAAAAAACUGUUCCGACAUCGUCUGGUCUUGACACGCAUGGGCCGGUGGGAAUGAUUGAAACGUCUUUUCACAGCGUUGGAAUAUAGGUGCGUUUGCAGGGAUACAGACGGCUUAAAAUAACUCCAAAACAAAGUAGGACAGGGACGUAAAGUGGCAGGCGACCUUCGUUUGCCCAUGGUUAACGUGUGUCUCCCCCCCCCCCUAU
This is a long non-coding RNA of Anarrhichthys ocellatus (wolf-eel), 2560 nucleotides long. RefSeq lists it as uncharacterized. The record is from RefSeq and is a predicted model, not a curated record. Lineage: Eukaryota; Metazoa; Chordata; Actinopteri; Perciformes; Anarhichadidae. The transcript is spliced from 3 exons.